AGAGUUUGAUCAUGGCUCAGAUUGAACGCUGGCGGCAGGCCUAACACAUGCAAGUCGAGCGGAUGAGAAGAGCUUGCUCUUCGAUUCAGCGGCGGACGGGUGAGUAAUGCCUAGGAAUCUGCCUGGUAGUGGGGGACAACGUUUCGAAAGGAACGCUAAUACCGCAUACGUCCUACGGGAGAAAGCAGGGGACCUUCGGGCCUUGCGCUAUCAGAUGAGCCUAGGUCGGACUAGCUAGUUGGUGAGGUAAUGGCUCACCAAGGCGACGAUCCGUAACUGGUCUGAGAGGAUGAUCAGUCACACUGGAACUGAGACACGGUCCAGACUCCUACGGGGAGGCAGCAGUGGGGAAUAUUGGACAAUGGGCGAAAGCCUGAUCCAGCCAUGCCGCGUGUGUGAAGAAGGUCUUCGGAUUGUAAAGCACUUUAAGUUGGGAGGAAGGGCAUUAACCUAAUACGUUAGUGUUUUGACGUUACCGACAGAAUAAGCACCGGCUAACUCUGUGCCAGCAGCCGCGGUAAUACAGAGGGUGCAAGCGUUAAUCGGAAUUACUGGGCGUAAAGCGCGCGUAGGUGGUUUGUUAAGUUGGAUGUGAAAGCCCCGGGCUCAACCUGGGAACUGCAUCCAAAACUGGCAAGCUAGAGUACGGUAGAGGGUGGUGGAAUUUCCUGUGUAGCGGUGAAAUGCGUAGAUAUAGGAAGGAACACCAGUGGCGAAGGCGACCACCUGGACUGAUACUGACACUGAGGUGCGAAAGCGUGGGGAGCAAACAGGAUUAGAUACCCUGGUAGUCCACGCCGUAAACGAUG
This 809-nucleotide ribosomal RNA is filed under the name uncultured bacterium. Its description in RNAcentral is "bacterial SSU rRNA". It matches the Rfam family "Bacterial small subunit ribosomal RNA", at positions 8 to 811 of the family's 1533-position model. The record is from RNAcentral.